This 2681-nucleotide long non-coding RNA is filed under the name Homo sapiens (human). Lineage: Eukaryota; Metazoa; Chordata; Mammalia; Primates; Hominidae. The record is from RNAcentral.
CAUGCCACUGCACUCCAGCCUGGGCAACAAGAGCAAAGCUCCGUCUCAAAAAAAAAAAAAAAAAGGCAAAACCAUAACAAUAGGGUAGUCUUUAGUAAUAUACAAGGGUCAUACUAUGCUUGGAGUCAUAUGACUUUGGAUAUAGAUGUGUAACAAGAGUGGUUAUUUUACAGGCUUCAAUGUACUCUGAAGUCCACACAAAACACAAACUAUUCUGCUAUUCUGUCCAGUCUAAAAAUAGCCCUAUGAAAAAAAUAUAUAACAUUAACAAUGUGCUUCCCUUUUUAGAAUUCUGGAGAAUCAUGAGGAAAUUAUGUAUAAGAUCUAGGGCUCUUUUCAAAAUAAGCUUUUCAGAGAAUACUGAAAUAAUCCUUUCUCUUUCUUCAGAUAAAUCUCCCUGAAAGAAACAGAAAUACGCCAAGUAAUCCCAUUGAUCUUUUUCUUUUCUUUCCGGUUUUUUUUUUUUUUUUUUUUUUUUUUGAGAUGCUAGUCUUGCUCUGUCACCUAGGCUGGAGUGCAGUGGUACGAUCUCGGCUCACUGCAACCUCUGCCUCCCAGGUUCAAGCAAUUCUCCUGCCUCAGCUUCCCGAGUAGCUGGAAUUACAGGCAUUCACCACCAAACCUGGCUAAUUUUUGUAUUUUUAGUGGAGAUGGGGUUUCACCAUGUUGGCCAGGCUGGUCUCAACCUCCUGACCUCAGGUGAUCCACCCACCUCUGCCUUCUAAAGUCCUGGGAUUACAGACGUGAGCCACCGUGCCCAGUCCCAGUUUUGGUUCUUUUUGUUGUUGUUGUUCUUUUUUUUUGCUCUCGUUGCCCAGGCUGGAGUGCAAUGGUACGACCUUGGCUUACCACAACCUCCACCUCCCAGGUUGAAGCAAUUCUCCUGCCUCAGCCCCCCGAGUAGCUGGGAUUACAGGUGUGCACCACCACGCCCAGCUAAUUUUGCAUUUUUACUAGAGACGGGGUUUCGCCAUGUUGGCCAGGCUGGUCUCGAACUCUUGACCUCAAAUGAUCCAUCCACCUCAGCCUCCCAAAGUGCAGGGAUUGCAGGCGUGAGCCACCGUGACCAGCUAGUUUGAGUGUUUUCUAUCAAUCCACCUUUGUCUACUGACUCUUCCUCACCUUCAUAUUGUUACUGAGUCCAUCCAGUGAGUUUUAAAUUUUUGUUGUUGUAUUUUUGUUUUAAAAUAUCCAUUUGAGGGUAGGUGCUGUGAAUCAUGCCUGUAAUCCCAGCACUCUGGGAGGCCGAGGCGGUCGAAUCACUUCAAUUCAGGAGUUUGCCACCAGCCUCGGUGACAUGGCAAGACCCUGUCUCUACAAAAAAUACAAAAAUUGUGCUUGCUUUGGCAGCACAUAUACUAAAAUUGGAACGAUACAGAGAUUAGCAUGGCCCCAGCGCAAGGAUGACACACAGAUUCGCGAUGCAUUCCAUAUUCUUGCUAUAGUCCGCUGCCCGUUACCUCGCUUUGCUUCCCUUCCCCGUAUCCUGCCAUAACGUCACAGGGCCCGUGACGUCAUAGCCUUCCCAUGUCCGUCUCCCGUUGCACCAUUGAGGUUGGCGAUUGGAGAACAAUCUCGCCAUCCCCACUCAGGCGUGGCGCCUUGCCACCUGCCGCUGUAGCCCCCAUAAAACAAUAAAUAAAAAUAAAAAUACAAAACUUAGCCAGGCAUGGCGGUACACGCCUUUAGUCCCAGCUACUCGGGAGGCUGGAGGUAGGAGGAUCACUUGAGUCCGGGAGGCAGACGCUGCAAUGAGCUGAGAUCAUAUCACUCCACACCAGCCUGGGCAACAGAGUGAGACUCUGUCUUUAAAAAAGAGGGCCAGGCGAGGUGGUGCAUGCCUGUACUCCCAGCUACUUGGGAGGCUGAGGUAGGAGAAUCGCUUGAACCUGGGAGGCGGAGAUUGCAGUAAGCCGAGAUCCGUGCCAUGGCACUCUAGCCUGGGCAACAAGAGUGAAACUACAUCUCAAAACCUCAAAACAAAACAAAAAAACAAGGCCAGGUGCGAUGGCUCAUGCCUGUAAUCGCAGCACUUUGGGAGGCCGAGGUGGGUGGAUCAUCUGAGGUCAGGAGUUCAAGACCAGCCUGGGCAAUAUGGUGAAACGCUGUCUCUACUAAAAAUACUAAAAUUAGCCAGGUGUGGUGGCGGGCGCCUGUAAACCCAGGUACUCGGGAGGCCAAGGCACUAGAAUCGCUUCAGGAAGGUGGAGGUUGCAGUGAGCUAAAAUUGCACCAUUGUAUUCCAGCCUGGGUGACAGAGCGAGACUCCAUCUCAAAAAAAAAAAAAAAAAACCCAGAAAAACUGAUAAAAGGAUAGUAAGGAUACCAAGCAACUCUACCCAUAUAAAUCCAACAAGCUGGAAGAAAUGGACCAAUUUCUUGAAAACUACAAACUACCAAAAAACACUCAAUAUGAAACAUAAUUUUUAAAGUCUUGUAACAAUUUUAAAAAUGGAAUUCAUGGUUUUUUAUUUUAUUUUAUUUCAUUUCGAGACUGCGUCUCACUUUGUCACCGACACUGGAGUGCAGUGGCAUAAACACGGCUCCCUGCAGCCUUGAAUUCCUGGGCUCAGGUGAUCCUCCCACCUCAGCCUCCUGAGUAGCUGGGACUACAGCCGCCCACCACCACACUCAGCUAAUUUUUUUAUUUUUUGUGGACAUGGGGUUUUGCCAAGUUGCCC